GCCUGGCCGAUAGUGAAUUAUCUUAAUUGAUUGUCAGUUACAGAUAGAACUUAUUCUACUCUUUCCCCCAUCCUUACUACUGCACUUGACUAGUUUUUU
This 99-nucleotide small RNA is filed under the name Macaca nemestrina (pig-tailed macaque). Its description in RNAcentral is "Y RNA (ENSMNEG00000011534.1)". Lineage: Eukaryota; Metazoa; Chordata; Mammalia; Primates; Cercopithecidae. The record is from RNAcentral.